Molecule: ribosomal RNA, 250 nt
Filed under: uncultured bacterium
Lineage: Bacteria
Description: partial 16S ribosomal RNA
Rfam family: Bacterial small subunit ribosomal RNA
Source: RNAcentral
UACGAAGGGGGCUAGCGUUGUUCGGAAUUACUGGGCGUAAAGCGCACGUAGGCGGAUUUGUAAGUAGGGGGUGAAAUCCCCGGGCUCAACCCGGGAACUGCCUUCUAGACUGCAAGUCUUGAGAUCAGGAGAGGCAAGCGGAAUUCCGAGUGUAGAGGUGAAAUUCGUAGAUAUUCGGAGGAACACCAGUGGCGAAGGCGGCUUGCUGGACUGAUACUGACGCUGAGGUGCGAAAGCGUGGGGAGCAAAC